Molecule: ribosomal RNA, 253 nt
Filed under: uncultured bacterium
Lineage: Bacteria
Description: partial 16S ribosomal RNA
Rfam family: Bacterial small subunit ribosomal RNA
Source: RNAcentral
UACGUAGGGUGCAAGCGUUGUCCGGAAUUAUUGGGCGUAAAGAGCUCGUAGGCGGUUUGUCGCGUCGAAUGUGAAAACCCGGGGCUCAACCCCGGGCCUGCAUUCGAUACGGGCAGACUAGAGUUCGGUAGGGGAGUCUGGAAUUCCUGGUGUAGCGGUGGAAUGCGCAGAUAUCAGGAAGAACACCAAUGGCGAAAGCAGCUUUCUGGGACGGUACUGACGCUGAGACGCGAAAGCGUGGGGAGCGAACAGG